CCUACGGGUGGCAGCAGUGAGGAAUAUUGGUCAAUGGACGCAAGUCUGAACCAGCCAUGCCGCGUGCAGGAUGACGGCUCUAUGGGUUGUAAACUGCUUUUGUACGAGGAUAAACCCCGAUACGUGUACCGUGUUGAAAGUAUCUUACGAAUAAGGAUCGGCUAACUCCGUGCCAGCAGCCGCGGUAAUACGGAGGAUCCGAGCGUUAUCCGGAUUUAUUGGGUUUAAAGGGUGCGUAGGCGGUUUGAUAAGUUAGAUGGGAAAUGUGGGGGCUCAACCCCGAAACUGCCUUUAAUACUGUUGGACUAGAGAAUAGUUGCGGUAGGCGGAAUGUAUGGUGUAGCGGUGAAAUGCUUAGAGAUCAUACAGAACACCGAUUGCGAAGGCAGCUUACCAGACUACAUCUGACGUUGAGGCACGAAAGCGUGGGUAGCGAACAGGAUUAGAUACCCUUGUAGUC
This 460-nucleotide ribosomal RNA is filed under the name uncultured bacterium. Its description in RNAcentral is "partial 16S ribosomal RNA". It matches the Rfam family "Bacterial small subunit ribosomal RNA", at positions 338 to 795 of the family's 1533-position model. The record is from RNAcentral.